RNAcentral lists this unclassified non-coding RNA (434 nucleotides) under soil metagenome. RNAcentral describes it as "partial contains 5.8S ribosomal RNA, internal transcribed spacer 2, and large subunit ribosomal RNA". The stretch from base 1 to 120 matches the Rfam family "5.8S ribosomal RNA", at positions 35 to 154 of the family's 154-position model. The record is from RNAcentral.
GAUGAAGAACGUAGCGAAAUGCGAUACGUAAUGUGAAUUGCAGAAUUCAGUGAAUCAUCGAAUCUUUGAACGCAUAUUGCGCUCUUUGGUAUUCCGAAGAGCAUGCUUGUUUGAGUAUCAGUAAACACCUCAAAGCUUUUGGAUUUUUUAAUCGAAAAGCUUUGGACUUGAGCAAUCCCAACACCAAUCUUUUUGAGAUCGGUGGCGGGUUGCUUGAAAUGCAGGUGCAGCUGGACAUUCUCCUGAGCUAAAAGCAUAUUCAUUUAGUCCCGUCAAACGGAUUAUUACUUUUGCUGCAGCUAACAUAAAGGGAGUUUGACCGUAUUGGCUGACUGAUGCAGGAUUUCACAAGGGUCGGCAACGAUUCUUGUUAAACUCGAUCUCAAAUCAGGUAAGACUACCCGCUGAACUUAAGCAUAUCAAUAAGCGGAGGA